Molecule: small nuclear RNA, 195 nt
Organism: Magnolia sinica
Lineage: Eukaryota; Viridiplantae; Streptophyta; Magnoliopsida; Magnoliales; Magnoliaceae
Product: U2 spliceosomal RNA
Exons: 1
Source: RefSeq, a predicted model, not a curated record
UUACCUUUUCCAGCCUUUGUGUUAAGAUCAAGUGUAGCAUCCAUUCUUAUCAGUUUAAUAUCUGAUACAUGGUAAACUCGGUCCACAUGAUAUUAAAUUAUUUUUGUAGGGGAGGGCCCACCACAGUAGCUUGCUACUAGGGCCCUCAAUCAUCACCCAUGCCUUGCCCUACUGCAAGACCCUAGUGACCCCUUG